RNAcentral lists this ribosomal RNA (468 nucleotides) under uncultured bacterium. Its description in RNAcentral is "partial 16S ribosomal RNA". It matches the Rfam family "Bacterial small subunit ribosomal RNA", at positions 28 to 507 of the family's 1533-position model. The record is from RNAcentral.
GACGAACGCUGGCGGCGUGCUUAACACAUGCAAGUCGAACGGAAAGGCCCUGCUUUUGUGGUGUGCUCGAGUGGCGAACGGGUGAGUAACACGUGAGUAACCUGCCCUUGACUUUGGGAUAACUUCAGGAAACUGGGGCUAAUACCGGAUAGGAUCUCCUGCUGCAUGGUGGGGGUUGGAAAGUUUCGGCGGUUGGGGAUGGACUCGCGGCUUAUCAGCUUGUUGGUGGGGUAGUGGCUUACCAAGGCUUUGACGGGUAGCCGGCCUGAGAGGGUGACCGGCCACAUUGGGACUGAGAUACGGCCCAGACUCCUACGGGAGGCAGCAGUGGGGAAUAUUGCACAAUGGGCGGAAGCCUGAUGCAGCAACGCCGCGUGCGGGAUGACGGCCUUCGGGUUGUAAACCGCUUUCGCCUGUGACGAAGCGUGAGUGACGGUAAUGGGUAAAGAAGCACCGGCUAACUACGUG